GCAAGUCGAACGGUAACAGGCCUUCGGGCGCUGACGAGUGGCGAACGGGUGAGUAAUGCAUCGGAACGUGCCCAGUCGUGGGGGAUAACGCAGCGAAAGCUGUGCUAAUACCGCAUACGAUCUAUGGAUGAAAGCGGGGGACCGUAAGGCCUCGCGCGAUUGGAGCGGCCGAUGUCAGAUUAGCUAGUUGGUGGGGUAAAGGCCUACCAAGGCGACGAUCUGUAGCUGGUCUGAGAGGACGACCAGCCACACUGGGACUGAGACACGGCCCAGACUCCUACGGGAGGCAGCAGUGGGGAAUUUUGGACAAUGGGCGCAAGCCUGAUCCAGCAAUGCCGCGUGCAGGAAGAAGGCCUUCGGGUUGUAAACUGCUUUUGUACGGAGCGAAAAGGCUCUCUCUAAUACAGGGGGCUCAUGACGGUACCGUAAGAAUAAGCACCGGCUAACUACGUGCCAGCAGCCGCGGUAAUACGUAGGGUGCAAGCGUUAAUCGGAAUUACUGGGCGUAAAGCGUGCGCAGGCGGCUGUGUAAGACAGGCGUGAAAUCCCCGGGCUCAACCUGGGAAUGGCGCUUGUGACUGCACAGCUGGAGUGCGGCAGAGGGGGAUGGAAUUCCGCGUGUAGCAGUGAAAUGCGUAGAUAUGCGGAGGAACACCGAUGGCGAAGGCAAUCCCCUGGGCCUGCACUGACGCUCAUGCACGAAAGCGUGGGGAGCAAACAGGAUUAGAUACCCUGGUAGUCCACGCCCUAAACGAUGUCAACUGGUUGUUGGGUCUUAGCUGACUCAGUAACGAAGCUAACGCGUGAAGUUGACCGCCUGGGGAGUACGGCCGCAAG
Molecule: ribosomal RNA, 837 nt
Filed under: uncultured bacterium
Lineage: Bacteria
Description: bacterial SSU rRNA
Rfam family: Bacterial small subunit ribosomal RNA
Source: RNAcentral